GGUCAAGUUAAAAUUAAGCGCACACGGUGGCUGCCUUGGCGAUAACAGGUGAUGAAGGACGUGGUAGUCUGCGAUAAGCUUCGGUGAACCGACAAACAGGUGUUGACCCGGAGAUUUCCGAAUGGGGAAACCUAUCUCGUAUCAGAGAUAUUUACAUUUGAAUUUAUAGGAUGUGAAGGCGAACCUAGGGAACUGAAACAUCUAAGUACCUAGAGGAAAAGAAAUCAAUAGAGAUUCCGUUAGUAGCGGCGAGCGAACAUGGAGUAGCCCAGUCACAUCAAGCUUGAUUUUCUUAGCAAAAUGAUUUGGAAAAGUCAGUGAUACAGGGUGAUAGCCCCGUAUGCGAAAAGAUUGUCAAGUGGGUGACUAAAGAGUAAGACGAGACACGUGUUAUCUUGUUUGAAAAAAUUUCUUCCUUUAAAGGAAGAAAAGGGGGGACCAUCCUCCAAGGCUAAAUACUCGUUAUCGACCGAUAGUGAACUAGUACCGUGAGGGAAAGGUGAAAAGAACCCUUGUAGGGGAGUGAAAUAGAACCUAAAACCGUGUGCGUACAAGCAGUGGAAGCAUAGUUUUUAGCUAUGUGACUGCGUACCUUUUGUAUAAUGGGUCAGCGACUUACUUUCAGUGGCAAGCUUAACCGAUUAGGGAAGGCAUAGGGAAACCGAGUCUGAAUAGGGCUAAUGAGUCGCUGGGAGUAGACCCGAAACCGGGCGAUCUAUCCAUGGUCAGGGUGAAGAUAGGGUAAUUCUUAUUGGAGGCCCGAACCCACCGUCGUUGAAAAGCCGGGGGAUGAAUUGUGGAUAGGAGUGAAAGGCUAAUCAAGCCCGGAGAUAGCUGGUUCUCCUCGAAAACUAUUUAGGUAGUGCCUCAUUUUUUACUCACGGGGGUAGAGUACUGUUACGGCUAGAGGCUCUCCUCGAGUUAUCAAACCGUUGCAAACUCCGAAUACCGUGAAGUAUAAUUAUGGGAGACACACGGCGGGUGCUAAGGUCCGUCGUGGAAAGGGAAACAGCCCAGACCACCAGCUAAGGUCCCAAAAUCAUGACUCAGUGGGAAACGAUGUGGGAAGGCUUAGACAGCCAGGAAGUUGGCUUAGAAGCAGCCAUCUUUUAAAGAAAGCGUAAUAGCUCACUGGUCAAGUCGGCUUGCGCGGAAGAUUUAACGGGGCUUAAGUCAUGUACCGAAGCUGUGGAUAUAGCUACAGGUUUAUUAUUGUGGUAGAUACUCUUCGAUUUAUUUUUGAGUAUAAUAUGGUAGAGGAGCGUUCUGUAGGCCAGUGAAGGUAUAUUGUGAAAUAUACUGGAGGUAUCAGAAGUGCGAAUGCUGACAUGAGUAGCGAUAAUGAAUGUGAAAAACAUUCACGCCGAAAGUCCAAGGUUUCCUCGCGCAACGUUAAUCGGCGCAGGGUAAGUCGGCACCUAAGGCGAGGCAGAAAUGCGUAGUCGAUGGAAAACAGGUUAAUAUUCCUGUACUUUGUGUUAUUGCGAUGGGGGGACGGAGAAGGCUAGACCAGCCGGAGAUUGGUUGUUUCGGUUUAAGGCAGUAGACAGAGAAUUUAGGCAAAUCCGGAUUCUUGAAUAAUGUUGAGAGCUGAUGACGAAGUCUUUAUUUAUUAAAGUACUGAAGUGGUUGAUGCCAUGCUUCCAAGAAAAACCUCUAAGCUUCAGAUAACAUAAAACCGUACCCUAAACCGACACAGGUGGACAGGGUGAGAAUCCUAAGGCGCUUGAGAAAACUCGGGUGAAGGAACUAGGCAAAAUAGCACCGUAACUUCGGGAGAAGGUGUACCUUUGGUACGUGAAGGGACUUGCUCCCAGAGCGGAAGAGGGUUGCAGUGAUUAGGUGGCUGCGACUGUUUAUUAAAAACAUAGCACUCUGCAAACACGAAAGUGGAUAUAUAGGGUGUGACGCCUGCCCGGUGCCGGAAGGUUAAGUGAAAUAGUUAGUUGUUAAGACGAAGCUGUUGAUUGAAGCCCCGGUAAACGGCGGCCGUAACUAUAACGGUCCUAAGGUAGCGAAAUUCCUUGUCGGGUAAGUUCCGACCUGCACGAAUGGCGUAACGAUGGCCACACUGUCUCCACCCGAGACUCAGCGAAAUUGAAUUUGCUGUUAAGAUGCAGUGUACCCGCGGCUAGACGGAAAGACCCCGUGAACCUUUACUACAACUUUACACUGGACUUUGAACCUGUUUGUGUAGGAUAGGUGGGAGGCUUAGAAACAAGGACGCUAGUUCUUGUGGAGCUAUCCUUGAAAUACCACCCUGGCAUGUUCGGGGUUCUAACUUAGACCCGUUAUCCGGGUUGAGAACAGUGUAUGGUGGGUAGUUUAACUGGGGCGGUUUCCUCAAAAUGGGGCAUUUUGGCGGUAACGUCAAAAGUGAAUUUGGCUAUAUGCUGGAAAAUCCGUUCCCUUUAUUUUAUAAAGGGCUAGAGUAUUUGGCAAUUGAAAAUGAAAAAAUGUGACCAAUGCGGAUUAUCAGCAGGGAAGUUUUAUUAUAUUUGUGAAAAGAAACCCCUCAACGACUACACGCCAAACAUCCUUAAAUCCUUUAAGGAUGGUGAUAUAGUCUGAACUCUUAGGCGACUAAGAGCCGAUUUUCAUCGGAAUCUUGAUUUGAUGGUGAUGGUAAAAUGAGCAAGCAAGAAUUUGAGAAAUUUAAAACAGGACUUAAACUCUCAAAAAAACAACGAGAGAUUUUAGUAGGUAUUUUUUUGGGGAGUGCCUGUUUGGAAAUGUCAAAUUAUGAAAAUAAUACUUAUCGAGUACUCAUAGAACAGAAUGAGAAGCAUAGUGAAUAUGUUUUUCAUCUCUAUAAUUUGUUUAAAGGUUGGGUGUUGAUACCACCGCAAGAAAGGGUGAGGGUGGUGUCUGAAAUUAGGAAUGAGAAGAGGUUGGUUUUUAACACUAUUAGUCAUGCCUCGUUUCGUUUUUAUGCUCAUCAGUUUUAUGGGAAAGAUGGAGAAAAGAAAAUACCUAAGUUAAUUCAUCGCUGGUUAACCCCAGUGAAUUUGGCUUAUUGGUAUAUGGAAGAAGGUUCCAUCAAUUUUUCUCAGGGAAAGUCAGAGGGUAUUAUUUUGGGAACCCAUUCUUGUGUAAGUUCAGAAGUUAAUCAGCUAAUACAGACGUUAGAGUUUGUAUUUGGUUUACGAGCGAAAAUGUGUAAACGGCAAAAGCAGUACAGAAUUCUGAUUUCAAAAGAAUCUAGUAGGCGUUUUUUUGAGUGGGUUAGGCCGUAUAUAUCUGAUUUAAUACCAUAUAAAAUGCCAUUGUUGAGAUUAACAUAAUUGCCAAAAAAGUAACGGAGGAGUGCGAAGGUACCCUCAGCACGGUCGGAAAUCGUGCAAUGAGUGCAAAGGCAUAAGGGUGCUUAACUGUGAGACAGACAAGUCGAACAGAUACGAAAGUAGGCCUUAGUGAUCCGGUGGUUCUGAAUGGAAGGGCCAUCGCUCAACGGAUAAAAGGUACUCCGGGGAUAACAGGCUGAUUCCUCCCAAGAGUUCACAUCGACGGGGGAGUUUGGCACCUCGAUGUCGGCUCAUCACAUCCUGGGGCUGUAGUCGGUCCCAAGGGUAUGGCUGUUCGCCAUUUAAAGUGGUACGCGAGCUGGGUUUAGAACGUCGUGAGACAGUUCGGUCCCUAUCUGCCGUGGGCGUUGGAAAUUUGAGAAGAGCUGCUCCUUGUACGAGAGGAUCGGAGUGGACGUACCUCUGGUGUGCCAGUUAUCAUGCCAAUGGUAUAGCUGGGUAGCUAUGUACGGACGGGAUAACCGCUGAAAGCAUCUAAGCGGGAAGCCUCCUUCAAGAUUAGAUUUCCCGACAUUAAAUAUGUCCUCAAGGUUCGUUAAAGACUAUGACGUUGAUAGGCGGGGUGUGGAAGUACAGUAAUGUAUGAAGCUAACCCGUACUAAUUGACCGUGUGACUUGACCCU
This 3928-nucleotide ribosomal RNA is filed under the name Candidatus Parabeggiatoa sp. HSG14. RNAcentral describes it as "23S ribosomal RNA". It matches the Rfam family "Bacterial large subunit ribosomal RNA". The record is from RNAcentral. Lineage: Bacteria; Pseudomonadati; Pseudomonadota; Gammaproteobacteria; Thiotrichales; Thiotrichaceae.